CCCGCCACUGUGCCUGCCCAUGCUGUUGGCUGGUGCAAUCCAGUGGUGAGCCGAGAAGUCCCGGCUUAGGAAACAGGGUGGUUCUCUCCACGCGGAUGACUCUGUGCUGAAAGCACAGGAACAGCC
Molecule: small nucleolar RNA, 126 nt
Organism: Lepus europaeus (European hare)
Lineage: Eukaryota; Metazoa; Chordata; Mammalia; Lagomorpha; Leporidae
Product: small nucleolar RNA SNORA65
Exons: 1
Source: RefSeq, a predicted model, not a curated record